Molecule: RNA transcript, 2076 nt
Organism: Rosa chinensis
Lineage: Eukaryota; Viridiplantae; Streptophyta; Magnoliopsida; Rosales; Rosaceae
Gene name: O-fucosyltransferase 1
Exons: 10
Source: RefSeq, a predicted model, not a curated record
AUAAAUAGAAAAAAUGAAUAAUAGAACCGACCCGACCCGACCCGACCCGACCAACACGAAUAUAUAGUCGGGACUCUCGUGAGAGAUUCAGGGCGCACCGAGAUUAAAGAAAGUGGAAGUUGAAGAGUGAGAAGCUCAACUUCUGAAGCAAUGCGAAGAGCGGGGCUUUAUAAUCGGCAGCAUGCGAAGCAAGUGGGAGGAGGAGCGAGUGUGAAGGCCAAGAUUGGGAAGCUAUUGCUCGCCGUUGUCGUCCUCUUGAUCUGCACCGUGUCCUUGCUCUUUACGUCCGCCUCCACCAGUGGCGGUGCUGCUGGAUCUGGCUAUCGCUCUGAGAUCAAUUUGGAAAAACUUUGGAGAAGUGCUGACUCUGGAGGUUGGAGGCCGUCAUCAGCUCCACGAUCGGAUUGGCCUCCUCCACCAAGCGAGACUAACGGCUACCUACGUGUGCGCUGUAAUGGUGGUCUCAAUCAACAACGUACUGCGAUCUGUAAUGCAGUUCUGGCAGCAAGAAUAAUGAACGCUACCCUUGUGCUGCCGGAAUUGGAUGCAAACUCAUUUUGGCAUGAUGACAGUGGUUUUCAGGGAAUCUAUGAUGUUGAGCAUUUCAUCAAGUCAUUAAGGUUUGAUGUAAAUAUUGUAGAAAAGAUGCCUGAAAUUCGCAAAAAUGGGAAGACCAAGAAGAUAAAAGCUGUACAGCUCCGACCACCAAGAGAUGCUCCUAUCAGUUGGUAUACUACAGAUGCUCUUCAGAAAAUGAAGGAGCAUGGGGCUAUCUAUCUAACUCCCUUUUCACAUCGUUUGGCGGAAGAAAUUGACAACGCCGAGUACCAACGGCUGAGGUGCAGGGUUAACUAUCAUGCUCUGAUAUUUAAGCCAAAUAUUAUGAAGUUAAGUCAAUCAAUAGUUGAUAAGCUCCGUACACAAGGUCACUUCAUGUCUAUACAUCUUCGUUUUGAGAUGGAUAUGCUGGCAUUUGCUGGGUGCUUUGAUAUCUUUAACCCAAAAGAGCAAGAGAUUUUGAAGAAGUAUCGAAAUGAAAAUUUUGCACCAAAGAAGCUUGUUUAUAAGGAAAGAAGAGCAAUCGGAAAAUGCCCAUUAACUCCAGAAGAGGUCGGUCUUAUUUUACGCGCAAUGGAAUUUAACAAUUCUACCAGGAUAUACCUAGCUGCUGGUGAACUAUUUGGUGGGGAGAGAUUCAUGAAACCAUUCCGUGCUUUGUUCCCUCACCUUGAGAACCACAGUUCUGUGGAGCACUCAGAUGAGCUACCAGAGAACACCCAGGGAUUAAUAGGGUCUGCAGUGGAUUACAUGGUUUGUCUCCUUUCUGAUAUUUUUAUGCCUACAUAUGAUGGACCUAGCAACUUUGCCAACAAUCUCCUUGGACACCGCCUCUAUUAUGGUUUCCGGACCACAAUUAGACCUGAUAGAAAAGCCCUUGCUCCAAUCUUCAUUGAUCGUGAAAAAGGACGAAAAUCAGGUUUCGAAGAAGCUGUUAGGCAAGUGAUGCUAAAAACAAACCUUGGCGGCCCUCACAAGCGGAUCUCACCAGAGUCUUUCUAUACAAAUUCUUGGCCAGAAUGCUUCUGCCAAACAUCUCCAAAGAAUCUGGCAGAUAAAUGUCCACCAGAUAAUGUUUUGGAAAUUCUGAACAGCCAGUUAAGUCAAGAGAACGAUGAUCCGGAAUCAAAUUCAACAUCUGUUAGAGAGAGAUGAUACAACAACCUCAGGAUUUGUAGUUGCUGAUAGCUCCUUCCCCAUACUAUAGAUUAUUGAACCCCUGUGUGCCUUAAGGAUAAGGAAUGGGUUUCUACAAUCAUGCUCUGCCUUUCAGGCUUUGAUCUUGGGCAUUUGGAGGUAGGGUUGAGUUUAUCUCUGGGUUUAUAUCACUGUUCUUCACAGUAUGGACAAAGAGAAGGGCAAGUUGACAAUAUUUGAUCGACCUCUUUGUAUAAUGAUCAUCGUAUAGUAUUACUUCGCUUUACCAAAAUCCACUAUUGGAUUAUUACUUUGGUAUACUCAUUCUAGAUUUGACACGCAUUGUAUUAUUCACUUUAAUAUAGUUUUUGAAAAUCUAAA